GAUGAACGCUAGCUACAGGCUUAACACAUGCAAGUCGAGGGGUAACGAGAGGAAAGCUUGCUUUCCUUGUCGACGACCGGCGCACGGGUGAGUAACGCGUAUCCAACCUGCCCCCAACUAGGGAAUAACCUUGCGAAAGUAAGACUAAUACCCUAUAAUUUCCUCAGAUGCCAUCUGACGAGGAAUAAAGAUUUAUCGGUUGUGGAUGGGGAUGCGUCUGAUUAGCUUGUUGGCGGGGUAACGGCCCACCAAGGCAACGAUCAGUAGGGGUUCUGAGAGGAAGGUCCCCCACAUUGGAACUGAGACACGGUCCAAACUCCUACGGGAGGCAGCAGUGAGGAAUAUUGGUCAAUGGGCGGAAGCCUGAACCAGCCAAGUAGCGUGCAGGAUGACGGCCCUAUGGGUUGUAAACUGCUUUUAUACAGGAAUAAAGUUAGCCACGUGUGGUUAUUUGUAGGUACUGUAUGAAUAAGGACCGGCUAAUUCCGUGCCAGCAGCCGCCGCAG
RNAcentral lists this ribosomal RNA (506 nucleotides) under uncultured bacterium. Its description in RNAcentral is "partial 16S ribosomal RNA". It matches the Rfam family "Bacterial small subunit ribosomal RNA", at positions 28 to 523 of the family's 1533-position model. The record is from RNAcentral.